RNAcentral lists this ribosomal RNA (640 nucleotides) under uncultured bacterium. Its description in RNAcentral is "bacterial SSU rRNA". It matches the Rfam family "Bacterial small subunit ribosomal RNA", at positions 10 to 624 of the family's 1533-position model. The record is from RNAcentral.
AGUUUGAUCCUGGCUCAGAGCGAACGUUAGCGGCGGGCCUAACACAUGCAAGUCGAACGAGAAUAGGGGAGCAAUCCCCUUAGUAAAGUGGCGGACGGGUGCGUAACACGUGGGUAAUCUACCUUCCGGCGGGGGACAACAGUCCGAAAGGAUUGCUAAUACCGCAUACGUCAACGAGGUCUACGGACCUUGUUGGGAAAGAUGGCCUCUCCUUGGAAGCUGUCACCGGAAGAUGAGCCCGCGUCCCAUCAGCUAGUUGGCGAGGUAAUGGCUCACCAAGGCUUAGACGGGUAGCUGGUCUGAGAGGAUGAUCAGCCACACUGGGACUGCGACACGGCCCAGACUCCUACGGGAGGCAGCAGUGGGGAAUAUUGGGCAAUGGGCGAAAGCCUGACCCAGCCACGCCGCGUGAGUGAUGAAGGCCUUCGGGUCGUAAAGCUCUGUGGGGAGGGACGAAUAAGUGGCGUACUAACACUACGUCGCCCUGACGGUACCUCCUUAGCAAGCACCGGCUAACCAUGUGCCAGCAGCCGCGGUAAUACAUGGGGUGCAAACGUUGCUCUGAAUUAUUGGGCGUAAAGCGCGCGUAGGCGGUUACUCAAGUCAGAUGUGAAAGCCCUCGGCUUAACUGAGGAAGUGC